UAAUGAUGAGAGGUUAAGCGUGCUUUAAGGU
Molecule: non-coding RNA, 31 nt
Filed under: Mus musculus (house mouse)
Lineage: Eukaryota; Metazoa; Chordata; Mammalia; Rodentia; Muridae
Source: RNAcentral